This 406-nucleotide ribosomal RNA is filed under the name uncultured bacterium. RNAcentral's name for it is "partial 16S ribosomal RNA". It matches the Rfam family "Bacterial small subunit ribosomal RNA", at positions 29 to 526 of the family's 1533-position model. The record is from RNAcentral.
AUUGAACGCUGGCGGCAGGCCUAACACAUGCAAGUCGAACGAGUGGCAUCCGUGUCAGUACUGUCUGGGAAACUGCCUGAUGGAGGGGGAUAACUACUGGGAAGGGUAGCUAAUACCGCAUACCAUCAGAUGUGCCAAGAUGGGAUUAGCUAGUUGGUGGGGUAACGGCUCACAAAGGAGACGAUCCCUAGCUGGUCUGAGAGGAUGAACAGCCACACUGGAGUUGAGACACGGGGCAGAGGCAUACGGGAGUCAGCAGUGGGGAAUAUUGCAAAAUGGGGGAAAGCCGGAUGCAGCCAUGCCGAGUGUAUGAAGAAGGCAUGCGGGUUGUAAAGUACUUGCAGCGGGGAGGCGUUACCCGCAGAAGAAGCACCGGCUAACUCCGUGCGAGCAGCCGCGGUAAUAC